Molecule: long non-coding RNA, 666 nt
Organism: Hemibagrus wyckioides
Lineage: Eukaryota; Metazoa; Chordata; Actinopteri; Siluriformes; Bagridae
Exons: 3
Source: RefSeq, a predicted model, not a curated record
GGUCACUGAGAUAAAUAUCCAGCUCCGGAGCACCAGCCUUGACCCUCAGAAGUCGGCUGUCAUUCUGGUUGCACUCAAAUAUGUGGGGAAAACUCCAGACGAUAGAUUCAUCACCAUUAUGCUACGAAUCUGACACGACAGAAAGGCAUUACAGAGGGUGAUCAAGCUGAUCCGGAAAAUCCCAGGGACAGAUCUCCCCUCACUGCAUGACAUCUACAAUAAAAGGAAAUGGGCUUGAAACAUCAUCAAGGACACCACCCAUCCCAUCCACAAUUUCCUCACCUUAAUGAAGUCUAGCAAGCGGUACCGGAGCACUGCGGCCAGAACAUCCAGACUCCAGAACAGUUUAUAUCACCAGACCAUUAGAUUGAUAAAUAGUCCAAACCCACUGCCACUUCCACCUGUAUCAUCAGGGUCAGUUCAGUCUGUUCAGUGGCACUCUGCACUUUACCUGCUGAACCAUCAUGCACUCAUAACGGAUAAUCAUGGACAAUUUAAACACUAGACUUUACACGGACACUUUAUCACCACAAAGUAAGAAUUUCAUUGUACCAGUACAUAUGACAAUAAAGCUCUUGAAUUGAAUUGAUUAGUAUCGUCAUCUGUAACAUUACAAUCAAUAGAAUGAAUUAAAUGAGACGUAAUUACAAGAACACAGUUUAGUUU